Long non-coding RNA from Aplysia californica (California sea hare), 951 nucleotides. RefSeq lists it as uncharacterized. The transcript is spliced from 3 exons. NCBI's taxonomy places the organism in Eukaryota, Metazoa, Mollusca, Gastropoda, Aplysiida, Aplysiidae. The record is from RefSeq and is a predicted model, not a curated record.
UGACUAGAGACAUUAAGAUUAAGAGAAAAGAAUGAGAUCACAGAGGCACGCCAGUGGACUGACAGCCGUGCGGCACACUAUAUAUAAAAUUGGUCUCGUUGCCCUUUUGUUAUCAUCCAAAAAGGCUUAAACUUAAAGAAGCAUAACCACCUGGAUUGCCUCGAAAGGAACUUCUUUGGAUGGAGGCAUGGGAGAAGUCCCUCAGGUCGUGUCACCAGCUGUCACCAAGAGCGAGGCAACGAGGGCCGUGAAAUGCAGGCCAGCCUUAGUCCAAUCUGCACAUGGCCCCCUACUGCUUCCUCAGCAGAGACAACCGACGUGACAGUUCCUGAAAACUGCGAGAAGCAUGCUGAAAGAACUGUUACCUUUGUCCUGAAGGAAAAACAUCCUGAGAUCGAAUAAUUUAUACUGACAGUCACGCAAUUUGCACGCCAUUAGCUCUGGCCAUGGGCUUGUGAAUCACAAGGACCUUUCCUGCGUCUGCUCCAGCUGCAAGACAGGGUGCCCUUGCAAGAGGAGAGAUUAUGUUGAAGCUUGGCAGUCCAGAGAUGAUGAAACAGAGGAAGAUGACCCAAAUGACCAUUCAGCACUAGAAGAAUUCUCGUCAUCAACUCUCAAUCAUCUUGAGAGUCUGAAUGAUGUUCUAGCCCCAGAAGCAGAUGAGUGCAGCGUGUGAGGUUUUGCCGUUGCAGUGGAAGCCACUUCCCACGGCCGCUGACAGAGGACAUUGGUUGGGAGCAUGGAACAUUUAUAUUUUUUACCAUAAUAUGAUGUUGUGUGCCCAACAAGGGAAACAGCUCUACUGUUCAUCCUUGAGGAGAGCUCUUCAUUAAAGGAAACUGCACUGGGUUUGCGGCGGCUAAUCAACAUGGCGUGUUAGUUGUUCUGUGUCUUGUAUUAUAUUUGGUCGCUUUUAAGCACAAGUGAGCUAUCCCAAAAAAUGCUGUUUUG